GAUGAACGCUAGCGAUAGGCUUAACACAUGCAAGUCGAGGGGUAACAUGGGAGUAGCUUGCUACUUCUGAUGACGACCGGCGGAUGGGUGAGUAACGCGUAUGCAACUUGCCUCUUAGUGGGGAAUAACCCGGAGAAAUCCGGACUAAUACCGCAUACACUUAGUUAUCCGCAUGGAUGAUUAAGGAAAGAUUUAUUGCUAAGAGAUAGGCAUGCGUUCCAUUAGUUAGUUGGUGAGGUAACGGCUCACCAAGGCAUCGAUGGAUAGGGGAGCUGAGAGGGUGAACGGCCACAAGGGGACUGAGACACGGCCCUU
Molecule: ribosomal RNA, 315 nt
Filed under: uncultured bacterium
Lineage: Bacteria
Description: bacterial SSU rRNA
Rfam family: Bacterial small subunit ribosomal RNA
Source: RNAcentral